This is a non-coding RNA of Ceratotherium simum simum (southern white rhinoceros), 872 nucleotides long. NCBI's taxonomy places the organism in Eukaryota, Metazoa, Chordata, Mammalia, Perissodactyla, Rhinocerotidae. The record is from RefSeq and is a predicted model, not a curated record.
AUAGACACUCAAAACACUUCAAAGGGAUAACCAACAGGGCUUUGAUUUCUCUUCUUCCUUACUGGUUCUCCCUCCAAGGUCUUCAUAUGUGUUUUGCAGCUAAUGUUUUAUUGUUUGAGAAUUGAAUUAAUAUAGUAAAGUGUUUAGAAUAGUGCUUGGCACAUACUAACACCAAUGUUAGCUACUGUUGUCACAUUAAGCAUUUUAGUAUGAAAAUUAUAUCUGCUGCUACUCCUGACCCCCUUUCCUUACUCUCCCUUUUUCUGUUCCACAGCAUUUAUUCCUUUCUCAUAGUCUCUAUAAUUACUUAUAAUAACUAUCGUUUGCUGUCUGUCUUCCCCAGCUGCGAUGUAAACUCUGAAAGGGUACUGACUGUCCUUUUCCAAGGAGAUAAUCACCGAAGAUGGCUCCUUAGCAGCUGGAGGAACAAGAGCCAGAAGAUGGUCCUUCAGGGCGAGGGGAAAAAGGGAAGAAAAGCCCUGCUUAGAGCGUCUCAAGACUCUGUCCUCACUCCCUUUGUGCUGGCUGUGGUCACUGGCCAACAAGAAGCCAUUGUGGGGCAUCUUAAAAAGGACAGAAGGGUAGGUGGUACUGAGACUGAGUUUUGGACAAAAGAAUGUGGGCAGGAGUGAUGUAUGCCACUUCCAGGCCUGGCCCAUGAAAAUCUCCCUCACAGAGGCAUUUUUCUUUCUUCUUCUAUCUGCUGACCUGGUGUUGAGGCUCCAGCAGAGAUCUCUAAGAGCCAAGGAUGUCUGAGGCACAUGAUGGAAGGAGACUUUGUCCCUGAAAGACUGUGGAGCCAAGCCCCAUCCCCUUAUUGUGAUAAGACAUUGUAUAAUGGAGUAAUGAACUUCUAUAAUGUUUAGCCACUA